UUUUUCCUGUGUCUUUUCCUCAUCAUGUAUGUUAAUUAUUUCAUUUAUGUAAACAACAAUAGAUGGAUUGGGUUAAUACAAGCAACAAUGGGUAAUUUGAUGAUCCAGUUAAACUAUGUUGUGAUUAAAAACAGGUGAUGUUUAAGCCCCGUUAACUGCAUAAUUGACUGGCAGAUAAACCAGUUAACAAUAGGAGCUUCACUUCCUUUCAAGCGAUGGCAUUAUUCAUGUUUAACGUACGUAAUAUAUUGCCAUUGGAUCUGAACAGGUUUAUUUAGUUUCUUGAAAUAACAUUCUGCUGAAUAGGAAAGGAUAAAUGAGUUCCUGCUCUUGAUUUCCAAUUUUCUGGCCAUCAUCAAAUUUUAUUAUCAACACGUAAGCGCCUUGCAAUGUGAAAGUAAUAGUUUCAGGCUUAUCAACAUGAAGGUCUACGAUUCUGAUAUUUACACCCAAACAAGAGAAUCUCCUACUCGUUUGCUAUAAAUGUCAAAAAUAUUUUCAUUCCUAUUGAAAAAGGAUGGUACCUUAAAAUCACACCCAAUAAUGAAUUGGAAAACAAAGUGAAGGCAUAUUUUUUUGUACAAUUCUGUUUAUUUAAAGCAUUGAAAUUGAUCAUAA
Tetranychus urticae (two-spotted spider mite) is the source of this 618-nucleotide non-coding RNA. The record is from RefSeq and is a predicted model, not a curated record. Lineage: Eukaryota; Metazoa; Arthropoda; Arachnida; Trombidiformes; Tetranychidae.